CCCGAACUGGAAUCACGCAGCUCAGCUGGCAAUUGUCAUGCAGAUGAGCCGGCAGGAAUCACGCAGCUCAGCAGGCCCUGAUCCCGUGACUCUGCCGGCACUGAUCACCUGGCUGAUCAAGUACAGAUCACGUGACUGAGCAUGCACUGAUCACGUGGCUAUCAUGCACUGAUGACGUGACUGCCCAUGCACUGAUGAGGCUCGAAAGCGUGGGGAGCGAACAGGAUUAGAUACCCUGGUAGUCCACGCCGUAAACGAUGAGUGCUAGGUGUUGGAUCCUUUCCGGGAUUCAGUGCCGCAGCUAACGCAUUAAGCACUCCGCCUGGGGAGUACGACCGCAAGGUUGAAACUCAAAGGAAUUGACGGGGGCCCGCACAAGCGGUGGAGCAUGUGGUUUAAUUCGAAGCAACGCGAAGAACCUUACCAAGUCUUGACAUCCGGAUGACCGGGACGUAACGGUCCUUUCCCUUCGGGGCAUCCGAGACA
This 486-nucleotide ribosomal RNA is filed under the name uncultured bacterium. Its description in RNAcentral is "bacterial SSU rRNA". It matches the Rfam family "Bacterial small subunit ribosomal RNA", at positions 635 to 1036 of the family's 1533-position model. The record is from RNAcentral.